RNAcentral lists this unclassified non-coding RNA (299 nucleotides) under plant metagenome. Its description in RNAcentral is "partial contains 5.8S ribosomal RNA, internal transcribed spacer 2, and large subunit ribosomal RNA". The stretch from base 1 to 105 matches the Rfam family "5.8S ribosomal RNA", at positions 50 to 154 of the family's 154-position model. The record is from RNAcentral.
GAAAUGCGAUAAGUAAUGUGAAUUGCAGAAUUCAGUGAAUCAUCGAAUCUUUGAACGCACAUUGCGCUCGCCAGUAUUCUGGCGAGCAUGCCUGUUCGAGCGUCAUUUCAACCAUCAGGCUCUGCUUGCGUUGGGGAUCCGCGGCUGCCCGCGGUCCCUCAAAAACAGUGGCGGGCUCGCUAGUCACACCGAGCGUAGUAACUCUACAUCGCUAUGGUCGUGCGGCGGGUUCUUGCCGUAAAACCCCCAAUUUCUAAGGUUGACCUCGGAUCAGGUAGAAAUACCCGCUGAACUUAAGC